CCUUGUAGAUCCAGCUCACGUCGGCUCGACUACUAAUCAACAGCAGCAGUCAAGCUCGUCUUUCGAAUCGGAUCUGACCAGUUCACCCGGGGGGGGGGGGGGGGGGGGGGGGGGGGGGGGGGGUGUGGGGAGGGUUUAACAAUUACAACAGCGAGGGAUGCCGUGCUGCGAUUACCAAUAUUAUUUUGAGACUAAAAAAGGAGCAAAACAGGGAAGGUGAGGGAGUGUGGGAAAAUACAUCUAAAAUGGGUUUUAGGUGGAGACAUGGGGACGAGGAGUGGGUAUUUGGUGGCAUAUCAGCUUCAAAGGUUCGGUUGGCACCCCCCCCCCCCCCCCCCCCCCCCCCCGCCCACCUGCUCUCUCUUUACUCUAUUCCUCGUCCCAGACAAAAAAAUGAAUACCGCAUUUCCCGUCAUCCAUCCAAUGCUCAUUUCCUCAGUUGACCUCAGACCAAAAAAUACAUCAGCACGUCCCACCCAUCACCAUAUAUUUCUUCCUUUUUUUUCCCCUCCUCCUAUCCUUCCCCCAUCUAUGAAACUGAGGGUCGGGAUGUGAUCCGACCGGCACUCAAUGGGUGACUGACAUGAUCUUGAAGCCCCUAAGAACCGGACUUGUGACUGUCGACAAAUGGAAAUUUCUGAGAUCUUUGCGUCAGCAUGCAACCAGGUUCUUGCUAGAUCUGGCCUUUCGACCCGAUCAAUCUCAAAUGUUGCACGUUUAUGAAGCCUAUGAUGAGGACUUGGAACUCCCUAUGCAAUGUGGAAUCUAGGGAGCCAAAAUUUAUUACCCAAUCGAGUACUGUCGAAAGACGUGGUUCCUCAAAAGUUGACGGGAGAAUAUGAGCUUCGAGAGCCUUCAGACGGUCCCCGGAAUUUCCGCACUUGAGAAGCAAAGAAACUCUAUGAACAGAGAGGAUAUAUCAUUAAAGCAGGAAACAUUUGGUUUUAAGACUCAUUACUCGAAUUCAGAAGGGCAACACGGUUAUGGGUGAUAAAAUUUCUAAUUAGUAAUGAGACAGAGCAAGAUAUUCAAUGCAUCUAUGUGAUGAUAGUGUUUGUCCAAACUCUUCUCAAUAUGACAGAAAAAGGAUGAUAUUGAA
Non-coding RNA from Punica granatum (pomegranate), 1099 nucleotides. NCBI's taxonomy places the organism in Eukaryota, Viridiplantae, Streptophyta, Magnoliopsida, Myrtales, Lythraceae. The record is from RefSeq and is a predicted model, not a curated record.